This 468-nucleotide ribosomal RNA is filed under the name uncultured bacterium. RNAcentral describes it as "partial 16S ribosomal RNA". It matches the Rfam family "Bacterial small subunit ribosomal RNA", at positions 28 to 507 of the family's 1533-position model. The record is from RNAcentral.
GACGAACGCUGGCGGCGUGCUUAACACAUGCAAGUCGAGCGGAAAGGCCCUGCUUUUGUCGGGUGCUCGAGUCGCGAACAGGUGAGUAACACGUGAGUCACCUGCCCUGGACGGGGUGAUAACUGCAGACGACUGGGACUAAUACCUACGAGGUGCGCCUGCUGCAGGGUGGGGGUCGGAAAGUUUAGGUGGUGAGGGAUGGACUCGCGGCUUAUGAGCUUGUGGGUGGGGUAGUGGCUUAGGAGGCCUUUGGCGGGUAGCCGGCCUGGGAGGGUGACCAGGCACAAUGGGCCUGAGGUACGGCGCAGAGUGCUACGGGAGGCAGCAGUGGGGAAUAUUGCACAAUGGGCGGGAGCCUGAUGAAGCAACGCCGCGUGUGGGAAGAAGGCCUUCGUGUUGUAAACCGCAGUCGCCUGUGACGUAGCGUGAGUGACGGUAAUGGGUAAAGAAGCACCGGCUAACUACGUG